GGUGAGUAACACGUGAGUAACCUGCCUUAGACAUUGGGAUAGCCUCGGGAAACCGGGAUUAAUACCAAAUAAAAUCAUAAUGACACAUGUCAUAACGAUCAAAACUCCGGUGGUCUAAGAUGGACUCGCGUCCCAUUAGCUAGUUGGUAGAGUAAAAGCCUACCAAGGCGACGAUGGGUAGCCGGCCUGAGAGGGUGAACGGCCACAUUGGAACUGAGAAACGGUCCAA
RNAcentral lists this ribosomal RNA (229 nucleotides) under uncultured Eubacteriales bacterium. RNAcentral's name for it is "uncultured Clostridiales bacterium partial 16S ribosomal RNA". It matches the Rfam family "Bacterial small subunit ribosomal RNA", at positions 105 to 334 of the family's 1533-position model. Lineage: Bacteria; Bacillati; Bacillota; Clostridia; Eubacteriales. The record is from RNAcentral.